GUUUGUGGAUCGAUAAAUGCACGCAGCUGCUAGUGGUUGUUGCGAUAACUCAGCUGGAUACGAUAAAUUGUGUGUGUUAGUCAUUCAUAGAAUACUUAUAUCGUGUAAUUUAGCUUCGUUUUAAAAUUCAUAUAAAUAUCAUACUUUGAAAUGAGUGGUAUUAUAAAAUUAAUUAAAGAGAAAUGAGUCAAAAUGAAGCUCUAUUUUUUCUGCGUAACAUAUCAAAUUUUAAUGAUACGCCAUAAGUGAUCAGUAUCGAAUUCAGGGCAAGGAAAAGUUUAGAAAUUUUCGUGUGUUUUAAAACCAACUAGUUGUUUAAUUCAUCAAUGAAAACUUAAUCCUUUGCGGUAAAACAAUGCCUUGAUUUAAAUAAAUAUUCGUAAUAUAUAACCGGUAGUCGAAAAUAGUAAUAAAUCACGAACAAUGACGGUGAUAAUAUAGCGGAGUUAUGAUUAAAUAAAUCAGGAUGAUUUGUAGUUAAAGUCGAUUUUUUAUCUUUCGACACUGAAGUGCAAAACGAUAAAUAAAAAAUAGCAACAUAAUUAAAUAAACUAUGUUUAACAUAUCAGUGAUGAAAUUAUCUUCUAUAGGAACAUGUAAGAUAUUGCAGUCUUCAAAAGUUAUAACUUUUAUGAUAUUCACAGUUUUCUAUAUUUGUUGGAUAUUACCGUGGGAAGUUGCCGGAGAACAUGGAAAGCAAUAUAAACUUGGCGUCAUUUGCAAAAAUCAUUUCUUACGAGAUUUGUACCGAAAAAUCGAUGGUGCUGUACUAACAUCGCAAAAUGAACACAAUUUGAAUUGUGCGAUAACAUUUCAGACCCACAGUAUUCUUCAACGAUUCAUGUUAAGGUUUGACAAACUUCAACUCGAUUGCAACGACCAUCUAUUUAUAUACGAUGGCGCCCAUGCUGUCAGCAAUUUUAAGGCGGAUCUGUCGUGUAGGAACACGCAUAUAAGCGUCGGUGCUAUUUAUACGCGCACAAAUUUCGUUACAUUAAAAUAUGUUACCGAUGCUUGGGGUACAGAUACGAAUGGUUUUCGACUAGUCAUCACAGCAGUAAAAGAUCCAAAGCACACCUGUAAGGAUUUUAGAUGCUCUAUGAAUGAAUUUUGUAUUGACGAGGAUCUUGUUUGUGAUGGUGUUAAUCACUGCGGUGAUGAAUCUGAUGAAGCUCCUUCAGCGCUCUGUACCGAUACAAAAACUGCGACGAUCCUUGGAAUCGAACAAACGUGGUUCGCAGCUGUUUUUGUUAUCGUCAUAAUCAUCAUAUUGAGUAUUAUCAGUGGAGUAACAUUUUACUAUUGUCGGAAACGAACUGAUGUACCGAGACAUCUACAUAAUACACUCACCGUAAGAGCUCAUACUCCAGUUAACUUCCCAUUGCAACAGAUGUACGGAUCAAACGGGGUAAACAAUGGAGUGCCGGUGAAUAUGACGGAAAUAAAGGAGCCAAUAAAAAUUCUCGAUCCCAUGAUCAACUUCAACCAUGUAGGAACGGGAAUCGGAUUAACGGGUGUAACGACUCUACCACGGUCGGGAAACUGGCUACACCCUGCAGGCCUCAUGCUCGGGCGCAGCGAAGUUCGGGUUCGUCUCUAUUGCCAGGCAAAGUAAAAAUUCACGGAUCAGACAGUGACAUUUCAUCUAGCCAACGAGAAGAAUGGUUCGUGUAACUAAGAGACAGAUCCUACCUAAGCUUGCAGGGUGGACGAAGGAACGGAUGUGCCCUCACCGUCCUUUUGGAUAAUCGAUACAAGUUCUACUUAAGAUGCUGAAGAACGAUUGUUGGUAAUCAUCAGCGCCAUUGACGUAGAAAUAGAUCAUUAUAAUCCACAAAAUGAAUACUAGUUUCUCUGAAUGGAAAAUUUGACUGUUUUACUUACAAUAAUUAUCUAGUGUGAUAAAUAUAUUAAUCGAUAAUGCAUCAAUUUUCACCAAACAUACUAUAGCAAACAUAAUUCGUUACAUCAUAUAUAAAUAUAUACAUACACAGGCUGUGCCAAAAGUACCAGCCCAAACUUUAAAGGUAGGUUGAGAAAAAAAUCCAAGACAAAAUGUUCUUUACAAAUUUAUCUCUAAGUGAGCAAGUAAUCAGCCAUUAAUCGGUAAAAUUAACCAAUCAGGAGGAAGCUUUACCAAGAAUGAGUAGAGUAGGGAAAGAGGCUACCAAUAAGCAUCAACGGAGCGCACUUAGCUGUGAUUCAGUGGUUCUCGCAAUGAUUAAUGCAAUUAAUCUCCUCUACUCUACAAUCUCUUGCUAAAGAACGCUUCUGAUUGGCUAAUUGUAUCAUUUAAUAAUUAAUAACCUGUUUGUCUGGUGAAAAAAUGGUAAAAGACGUUUUGUCCUGAAAUUUCAUUUUCUAUUUACUUCUAAUGUUUGGGCUAGUACUUUUGACAUACAUUGUAUACAUAUAUAUGUACCUAUUUUAGUGCAUUUUUUUACAAAUAUGUUUUUUUUCUCAGUCUAUAUAAAAGUUUAUUUGUCGACAAUGCAGAAAAACAUUUUCCCCCAAUUUGGGCUCUUGAUUUAAAUUUUAAAAGGUCGAAAUUUAUAUCUAAAGUUUUCCUGCUUCAAAAACAUUAUAACAACGUUACUUUUUUAUUAAAAAUAUUUCUACUCAGCCGUGAUUUUAAUUAUCAACUUGUUAUAGGGCUCAGUCUUUAAGCUUCUCUUCGGAAUUGUCCUAAGCAGCUGCAUUUUUAACGGUUUCAGAUUAUGAGAUAUCUGACAUUAAAACAUGAUUAUGAGUCGUUACUAUUUAAACUAUCGACUUACGAAUAAAUAUCUUUAAGACUUUACUAGAAAUACUUACAAUUUAAUACAUAUCUAAGUUUUAUAUGUUAUAACAAAUACAAGACUGCUUUAGUGAGCAUUAAAUUUCUAUUAUCGAUUCAUAAUCUUCUAUAUAAUAAAUAUAAGAUAAAAUUUACACUUUUUCAGCUAAAUUUUAUAGUAUUUAUAUAUUACAUAUCCAAUGGCUAUUAAAUAAAAAAAAAUAUAGAAGUUGCGACCCGUCGACUAUCGGCACUUUAAUCAAUGCAUUAAAUCGAAAAACUUCAUCAACAUAUCACCCUACAUUAAUAUAACUGACAAAUUAAACAAAAGACCAAGUACAAAAAAUCAUAAAAUUUCCAUCAAAACGUUUUGUUCACGACCAUCCUAUAAAUUUAACACAUCCUUUGUCCCCACCGUACCGACAGUCAUCUCUUAUGUGCACAGGUCUGCGCAGUAGUAUGCGUAAUGUUCGAAAAUCUAUUAGAUUAUCACCUAAAUUUAAGUUUUAAACGCUCAUUAUCUAAGUUAGGAUUUAUGUGUACAUGAUAUUAAAGGUGCACUUAGAGAAUUUUGAAUUUUCUACGACUGAGAUUUUUUCUAUUGGCCCCGCGGAAAAUUGUAGUGGGGGAAAGACUUUUAGCUCUAUAAAGAAAAUCUUGUUAAGUUUAGAGAGGCAGAAAUUUUAUGGAGAUUCUAGAGAAUUUGAUUUGUGACGAAUUGUGCUAAAAUUGGAUAGUGGUUAAAAUCUCCAAGAAAAAGCGUUUGAAAAAAUAAACAAAGCAGUUGGAAUUAUUGAAAAGUCUUAUAUAUUUCUCAUAAAGUAUUGAGUGCAGUGCAAAAUUUUUGCUCUUAAUUUUUUCAUUGAAAUCGAUAGCUUAAAUUUUAAUAAGCAACAACCAAAAUUUUUUACAAGCUCAGGACAAGUUGAUUUUUCAAAAAAGUAUGGCAGAGUAGGUAUUUUUUUGUAAAACGUGCUGUUCUAAUGUUUUUCAAAUGGAAAAACUUAACAAAUAAAUCGCGACCUUUUGAAAUUAAAAUUAAGCGCCUAAAUUUGAAAAGAAAUUUUCUUUAUUAUCUGCAGCGAAAUAUUCAUAUAGAUUCAAAAUUCGCAAGACGUAAGCAUCCUUAAUAUAUAUAUUUCUAUAUAUAUAUAAAGUGAUGAUUAAGUAUUGGAAUAUGAACAGUUGAGUGCAUCUAAUCGUCCAUAUGACUAUAAACGAUUGCAUUUUUAUCGACUAUUUUUGACUAUAUCUUCAUAAAAGAAACAAACAUAUUAACAGAUAAUUUUUAUGAGUGUAAGACAGAAAAUAUACACCUUAAUCAUACGGACUUGAAAUUUAAAAUAAAGUUUAAAGAGUAUUUUAUACUUGUUUACUAAACAUUCCGAUGUAUCCAAAUAUUGUUAAAUUAAAAUUAUACAUUGUCAAAUAAAACCUUACUAGAAUACGUAUGCAAUGAUACAUUGAUUUU
RNA transcript from Microplitis demolitor, 4247 nucleotides. RefSeq lists it as uncharacterized. The record is from RefSeq and is a predicted model, not a curated record. The transcript is spliced from 8 exons. NCBI's taxonomy places the organism in Eukaryota, Metazoa, Arthropoda, Insecta, Hymenoptera, Braconidae.